GCCUAACACAUGCAAGUCGAACGAAGUGCUUCGGCACUUAGUGGCGGACGGGUGAGCAACGCGUGAGAAUCUAGCUUCAGAGGGGGACAACAGCGGGAAACUGCUGCUAAUACCCCAUAUGCCGCCAGGUGAAACGGUAAUUCCGCCUGAAGAUGAGCUCGCGUCGGAUUAGCUAGUUGGUAGAGUAAGAGCCUACCAAGGCAACGAUCCGUAGCUGGUCUGAGAGGAUGAGCAGCCACACUGGGACUGAGACACGGCCCAGACUCCUACGGGAGGCAGCAGUGGGGAAUUUUCCGCAAUGGGCGAAAGCCCUGACGGAGCAAGACCGCGUGGGGGAGGAAGGCCCUUGGGUUGUAAACCCCUUUUAUCAGGGAAGAAGCCAGUGACGGUACCUGAUGAAUCAGCCUCGGCUAACUCCGUGCCAGCCGCCGC
RNAcentral lists this ribosomal RNA (432 nucleotides) under uncultured bacterium. RNAcentral describes it as "bacterial SSU rRNA". It matches the Rfam family "Bacterial small subunit ribosomal RNA", at positions 46 to 518 of the family's 1533-position model. The record is from RNAcentral.